RNAcentral lists this unclassified non-coding RNA (395 nucleotides) under soil metagenome. RNAcentral's name for it is "partial contains 5.8S ribosomal RNA, internal transcribed spacer 2, and large subunit ribosomal RNA". The stretch from base 1 to 122 matches the Rfam family "5.8S ribosomal RNA", at positions 35 to 154 of the family's 154-position model. The record is from RNAcentral.
GACGAAGAACGUAGCGAAAUGCGAUACUUGGUGUGAAUUGCAGAAUCCCGUGAACCAUCGAGUCUUUGAACGCAAGUUGCGCCCGAAGCCAUCAGGUUGAGGGCACGUCUGCCUGGGCGUCACAUAUCGUUGCCCAAUGCCUAUUGCAGUGCAAUAGGAAUUUCUAGGGCGAAUGAUGGCUUCCCGUGAGCGUUGUUGCCUCGCGGUUGGUUGAAAAUCGAGUCCUUGGUAGGGUGUGCCAUGGUAGAUGGUGGUCGAGUUAGAACGAUACCGAUCAUGUGCAUGCUCCCCAAAAUAUGGCCUCUAUGACCCACACGCGUCUUUUGACGCUCAUGACGAGACCUCAGGUCAGGCGGGGCUACCCGCUGAAUUUAAGCAUAUCAAUAAGCGGAGGA